This is a long non-coding RNA of Sus scrofa (pig), 4351 nucleotides long. RefSeq lists it as uncharacterized. NCBI's taxonomy places the organism in Eukaryota, Metazoa, Chordata, Mammalia, Artiodactyla, Suidae. The record is from RefSeq and is a predicted model, not a curated record.
UCCCAGGCACACUGUUACUCUCUCUGUGAACUGACACAGGGGGUGUUUCUACAGAGGACUCACGGGGUGGGGUCACUCUGAAGCCCUUGCCAAAGGAAAAUGACAAUGAUUAUCCUGAGGAUGAGAUGAGAAAGAGCUGCUCCACGGUCAAGGUUGUGAACGACAAAGGAACGGUUAUCCUUUUAUGGUCUUCCUCCAAGCUUUUGAGGACAACGAUAAAUUAUUUUUAAAAAGAGCAACUCUAUAAGGCGGGUACUAUUAUCCACCUCACUUACAAAUGAGGAAACCGAGGCAAACAGGUUAACUUAGAUCUCACAGCCAGCAGACGGCAGAGCCGGGAUGGGAACCCGGAUGUUUGUCUCCAGCCUGUGCUCUUCGCAAUGAUGCUAAGUGAUGAAGAGUCGAGGAGGGAGGGCAUCUGCUCCAGGUGAUGUGCUCCAGAAUGACCUCUUCGAGGACUGCCAGGAGGCGUGGCGCAGAAGCUGACUCCACGCCUGUGAGAGGCACUGGCAGCAAACUGGCACUUCUUAGCCAACAAGGCAGGAUUCCCAGCACAUUUCAAGGAUCAGGUGUCCACGUCAGAAACCAACCCAGCUCUAAGUGCCCCAAAAUCACGUUGCGGGGAGUGGUGCUUUUGUGCUCAUGUGCCUGGACCACUUAUGCACCUGCUCUGGAAGCCCGAAGCCCCCAGGACUGCCCAGACCCCCUGCUUUGGGAUGUGGUAGAAGAAACCAGAGUCUGGUUUUGGAUGCUCUCAGGCAGGAAGUAUUAUGCAUCCAGAGGAGGCCUAAUCGCGCCGCCACCCCUGACCUACGAGGAGAGCUCUUGAAGCCUGACUCACCACCAAGCCCUGGAGCAGGACUGGAGACCGCCUCUCCCUGCACAUCUGCGCCUCUUCCGUCUCCAUCGGAACCCUAUGGCUGGUGAGUUCCUUAAGGGACCACUCUCAUCAAGAAUGCCCACUCCCACCUCGAUCCACCUGCUUUACCAAAAGCCUCCCUAAGGCAGAAGCGGUGCCCUGCACCCCACUCCAGUCCCGCAUGGCCACCCAAAGUGUUUGAUGCCUGAUCCAGGAUAGGAGAUGGUCAGCAGCCCAGCUCUGCCCCCACCAGCUUUCUGCCUCUACAUGGCCCUGGGCGAGCCCGGUCACCACUUUGUACCCAUUCUCUUCAUUUGAAAAGGAGGAACUGAGAGCAGAUCCAAGUCACGUGACUAUGUUAGGGGAGGGGGUUACCUAGAUAAUGUAUCGAAAAUGUUUAGCCCAGUGCUGGGCACCUAUUACAUACUAGAUAAAUGAGAGCUAUGACUCCUAAUAAUAUUAAUACAAGUUUCUAGUUUGACGGCCCAGACCUGGAGUGUGGAAACAUGCAAGCAUCAUUUACAAGUCCUCCAGUCUUGCCUGCGUUGGGUUUGGCACCAAGGAACCACCACAACCUCUGAGAGCUGAGGCCGUCUUCCCUUUGUUAGAUCCUCUGCUUUCCCUUCUGGCCUGGACAAGCCCUCCCUGCUUUACCUAAUAGGAGGAGCAAGUCUUUGCCAGAAGAGAGGGAGACAUCCUUCGAAAGGCAUCUAAAACGUUGCCAUUUAUGGUGCAGAGUGAAGGCCAUAGCUACUCUUUCAAUGACACAUGCACAAAAGCUCUUGUUAUGGACACAAAUAAGAAAAGGGAACCCUUCGCCUGGUGUAAUUCACUUCAUUUAUUGACCAGAGUUCUCUCCCCCAACCCCGAUUCCUUUGCAUUUGUCAGCGGUUCAGAGACCCCUGGCAUUCAGCAUGAUUUGUAAUGUAAAUUAUAUAAUUGUACUUUCACAUAUUUUAACAUCAAAUGAAAUGAUUGACUACAGAAUCGGAGCUGUCUACAGGUGGGGGUCAAUUACCAUCUGAAUAAUCACAGUGCCACACAAGAAUAGCAUAGCCGCUGAGCGUGACAUAUUUUUAUCUCUAUGCAUUUCAAUGAAGUCAGGCUGGUACAUAAAAGGUUAUCACCUAGGAAACAUAUUUUCCUAAGCACAAGUUAAACAUGCAAGUGAGAUCAGCAAAGAUAUUCAAUUUAGCCAGUCAACCCUAACCUAUUAAUAUUUUAACAAAAUCCAGUGAGGAUAAUUUUUUUCUUUGAUCCCAUUUCAUGUGAGCAGCCUGGAAAGGGAAGAAAAAUUAAAAACAAAAUAGUCAAGCAUACAGAAUGAGGUUAUGUAUUAAGUGGGCUAUUUAAUGUUUCUGGCAUUUCAUAGCCCAGGGGAAAGUGUGGAUGGAUUUAACCAUCAAGAGCUGUGUUCCCUUGGCCACAAAGUUCGAGAAACAUAAAAUAAUCUAUACUUCCAAGCUGACAAAUCGUACCUGACACCCAGCUUCAUCUCACCGGGACUCCGGAGAUCAGCAUUAAUCAUAUGUUACAGGGAGUAAAAAGAAAAGUAAAUCACGCCACACUGAAAAGUGAGAUGGAAGGUCUUCAGGCAAGGAUUUUAAUCAAUAAUAUGUGGGAUGAUAACCAGAAGCUAUUGUUUUAAUCUUCCAAUAUGAAAAGAAAUGAAUGCAAAACACAAAGCUACUGAGAGCAGAAGCGGCUUCCAUGAUGCCUUGUAAGAACUGAAAACAAUUUGGCAGCUCAACUUCCCGUCUUGAUGCAUGACCACACAUACACACACACACACACACACACACGAUUUCUUUUUAAUGGGAAGGAGUCAGGUGCAUCCUUGAAGUUGCUUGUGUCUGGAGCCAUUGCUUUUGCCCAGGUCCUGGGUCCCAAGCUAAGCUUUGCUCUGUUCUCCCUGUUCAGCCAAUGUCUACUAGUUUGGCACUUCCAGCUUCCAUUUCUGCCCCUGCUAAGAGAUGCUUCUCUCCUAAAUUCUCAGUCCCUGUGGCUUGGGUCGUGUUGGCUUCCCCAGCGGUUCUAGGGAAAGAGGUGUUUCUGUCCUGGCAUCACUGAUUUAUUAGUUAAUUAAUUAAUUCACGAUUAACUAGUUCUGGGAUGAGUGGGAGAUUCAUUAGAGCCCACGAGAUGCAGCCUUGGGUGUUCUUGGCUGUACUCUUAUGAAAGAGGCUGAUAUGGGUUGAACUGUAUCCUCCUCAAAAUACAUGUGUUGAAGGCCUAACUCUAAAUACCCGAGAACAUGAGCUUUUGGGAGAACAGGACCAUUGCAAAUCUGAUUCGUUAAGAUGAAAUCAUACUGGGGUAAGUGGGACUCCUGAUACAAAGCAAUUAGCAUCCUCAUAAAGAGAAAAUUUGGACCCAGACAGAUACACACAUAGGGAGAUGCCAGGUAAAGACGAAGAGCUCUGGGUGAGGCUUUUACAAACCAGAGAACUGCAAUUAUGUCCAGCAAACUGCCAGAAGCUAGGGAGAGGCAUGGAACAGAUUCCUCUGGCCCUGGUGACAUUUUGAUCUCAAAAUUCUAGUCUCCAGAACCGUGAGACUAUUUCUAUUAUUUAUGCCCCUCAAUUUCCAUCCAGAGUUUUUUCAGGCAGCCCUAGCAAUUUAAUAGAGAGGCCCCCUCUCUUUUAUUCCCAUGUACUAGGAACUUUGAAAAUUUAAGUUUGGUCUAUGCUAUGCUCUGAAUGUGUUCUCCCAAAAUUCAUCUGUUAGAAUCCUAACCCUGACAGAUGGUAGUAUGAGGAGGCCUUUGGGAGGUGCUUAAGCCAUAAAGGUGGAGCCCUCGUGAAUAGGAUUAGCAUCCUAUAAAAGAGGCCCCCCGAGAGAUCCUUAGCCCCUUCCACCACGUGAGGCCACAAUGAGAAGUCUGUGACCUGGAAGAGAUCCCUCACCCAAGCACGCCGGCUCUCUCAUGUCGGACUUACAGCCUCCAGAACCAUGAGAAAUACAUUCCUGUUGUUUGUAAGCCACCCCGUCUGUGGCAUUUUGUUAUAGCCGCCCAAAUGGACGGAGACAGCACGGCUGGCGUUUAUCUUACCCAGCAGUGGAGCCAACAACUGCAAAGCUGAGCGCCUACUUACAGAGAAACCUACACCUCAGGCAGAUAUUUCCUGGGUCCCUGGGUCCAUCCAUACCUGAGGUUUUAUCCCCAAUUUUGUGAUUAUGUGAGCUAUUAAAUUCCCAUUUUUACUUAAGCUACUUACAAUUGAAUUUUCAUCACUUACAACUGAAGGAAUCCUAAAUGGUUUAUUCUGAAAGCAGUCAGUGUGCUCUUAGGAUGAAUUAGUAGACCAGAAGUCUUCAGAAAAAAGGACAUGUUCUUGUCAAUUAGACCACAGGAAGGUGGCAUUCAGUUUGAGGCAUCACACGUUCAAGAGGGAUAAACAUGGGCAGAGUGUUUGGGUGGUGAAAGACCCGGGCUGUGAAUGACAGGAGGUAUAAAGGAUGCUUGUCCUAGGCCAAAAAAAAAAAAAAAAA